CAAAAGGCCAGAACAGAGCUGUUCACCUGGAUGUGAUUACGCAUCCGACAGAAAUGAUAGGGGCCUGCAGGGAUAUGAUACACUUGUCACUGACCAAAGAGACUCAGUCAUCUGGCUCAGUCUCUCCCCAGAUAAGUAACUUUCAGAUGUGUCCUGUGGUCCUUGGCAAACUGUCAGGAAAUCAAGUGUAGAGCUGAUUGAUGAAUUUCCUUUUUCCUAAACACACACAUAUACACACACACAUACACGCACACACACUGUCUCUCCUCAAACCCUCAGGAAAUUUGGCUUCAUCCUCUGAGAGAGUCUGUGCUGUUGGAAUGCCUGCCUGUGUCUUGGCAUCACCUCUGUGCUGGGACGUGUGUUUGCCAUUUACAUCCUUCACUCGUGAGGACCAUGAUGAAAUGUGAAACUGGCUGGGACCCAGUUCCCGUUCACCCAGGCUGCACUGAGUAGGCGCCAGCUGCGUGCAGAGCAGUCGCCUCGCAGGAGACAGGGCGUGUGAGCCCUGUGGCAAAGCCCCUCUCUCUUUUAGUCUUAGAGUAUGCUCUGUGAUGAACAGUUACAGCUUCAAGGAAGGAAAUCACACUCAAAUUCCUCAUAAGGGUUAGUGUUCCCACCCUCCUCCUUUCUCCUGACGCUUUGGAAGGAAAUCAUCUAGUACCAGCUCCAGGCUCCUGGUCUGCUAGACCAGUUCUCGGCUCCUCCCGGCUCUGAAAUGUGGCUCAGCUCUGCCCCAGCUCUUUCUCUUUGUUAGAUCCUGGGCAGAAAUGUCAAGGCCUUUCAUCAUCUUGGGCCCCCAGUUCAGAGAGAACUCCAUCUAUUAUUACUAGAACCAUCUACUGUAUAGAACAUAUAUUGGAAUACUAUACAGGAAAACCAUUUUCAAAACCACCUAUAAUUUCCCACCUAGAUAACUGCUGUUUAUGUUUUGGCGUGUUUUUCUGACAGACUGCAUUCUCAGUGGGCCCUUAAAAUGCCACAGAGCUGUGCACUGUGAGCAAAGUUAAAUACUGUGAAACUGGGGGCCCAGGUGCUAGGGAAGGUUUCAUUUUUGCUCCCCUUGGAAAGAGGAGCUCAGGGGUGGGGGCACUCAG
This 1097-nucleotide long non-coding RNA is filed under the name Homo sapiens (human). RNAcentral describes it as "HSALNT0169475". Lineage: Eukaryota; Metazoa; Chordata; Mammalia; Primates; Hominidae. The record is from RNAcentral.